GACGAACGCUGGCGGCGUGCUUAACACAUGCAAGUCGAACGGAAAGGCCCUGCUUUUGUGGGGUGCUCGAGUGGCGAACGGGUGAGUAACACGUGAGUAACCUGCCCUUGACUUUGGGAUAACUUCUGGAAACUGGGGCUAAUACCGGAUAGGAGCUCCUGCUGCAUGGUGGGGGUUGGAAAGUUUCGGCGGUUGGGGAUGGACUCGCGGCUUAUCAGCUUGUUGGUGGGGUAGUGGCUUACCAAGGCUUUGACGGGUAGCCGGCCUGAGCGGGUGACCGGCCACAUUGGGACUGAGAUACGGCCCAGACUCCUACGGGAGGCAGCAGUGGGGAAUAUUGCACAAUGGGCGGAAGCCUGAUGCAGCAACGCCGCGUGCGGGAUGACGGCCUUCGGUUUGUAAACCGCUUUCGCCUGUGACGAAGCGUGAGUGACGGUAAUGUGUAAAGAAGCAGGGGCUAACUACGUG
RNAcentral lists this ribosomal RNA (468 nucleotides) under uncultured bacterium. RNAcentral's name for it is "partial 16S ribosomal RNA". It matches the Rfam family "Bacterial small subunit ribosomal RNA", at positions 28 to 507 of the family's 1533-position model. The record is from RNAcentral.